CGCGGGCAGCACUCUGGGCGGCAGCUGAGCACAGCAGCAGUGUGUCUAGCUCCGGCCGGGCGGCACAGCAGCCAGAUAUGUGGCUCUGAGUGACAUGCUAAAUCCAGACUAACACGGCUACCCCUCUGAUACUUGUCACCAAUAUGAGUAAUCCUCAAACCGAAGAGUGACGGAAAGCUGUUUUAUGACAAACUGAGAUUCCCACCCCAUGGACCUCGCUAACUGACCUGCCUAACCUCUUCUAAGUACAGGAAGAUUAUCCUUCAGUAAAUGUUGUUUAAAUGGGCUACUUUUAUCUCCUGUGUACUAGGAUCCUUGACCCCAU
Long non-coding RNA from Mauremys mutica (yellowpond turtle), 325 nucleotides. RefSeq lists it as uncharacterized. Lineage: Eukaryota; Metazoa; Chordata; Testudines; Geoemydidae. The transcript is spliced from 3 exons. The record is from RefSeq and is a predicted model, not a curated record.